RNAcentral lists this non-coding RNA (153 nucleotides) under Candidatus Tagaibacteriota. RNAcentral's name for it is "Candidatus Tagabacteria SAM-I-IV sequence". It matches the Rfam family "SAM-I/IV (S-adenosyl methionine) riboswitch aptamer". Rfam says of the family: It is found upstream of a number of genes which code for proteins involved in methionine or cysteine biosynthesis. It has been found mostly in the order Actinomycetales. The record is from RNAcentral.
ACUAAAUAUCCAGAGUGGAGAUAGCCCCGUCAUUCGACAGGGUAAGGGUCUUGGCCCGAUAACCUCCCACCAACCGAGCCAGUGCUACGGUGGUUCCAACCCCAUAGGGAAAGAUGUGCUCCAACGAAAGUUCGGAGAAAAAAAGAGGCUUCU